This 561-nucleotide ribosomal RNA is filed under the name Salmonella enterica subsp. enterica serovar Enteritidis. RNAcentral describes it as "partial 23S ribosomal RNA". It matches the Rfam family "Bacterial large subunit ribosomal RNA", at positions 629 to 1191 of the family's 2925-position model. The record is from RNAcentral. Lineage: Bacteria; Pseudomonadati; Pseudomonadota; Gammaproteobacteria; Enterobacterales; Enterobacteriaceae.
UAUAUUCUGUAGCAAGGUUAACCGAAUAGGGGAGCCGGAGGGAAACCGAGUCUUAAUUGGGCGUUAAGUUGCAGGGUAUAGACCCGAAACCCGGUGAUCUAGCCAUGGGCAGGUUGAAGGGUGGGUAACACUAACUGGAGGACCGAACCGACUAAUGUUGAAAAAUUAGCGGAUGACCUGUGGCUGGGGGUGAAAGGCCAAUCAAACCGGGAGAUAGCUGGUUCUCCCCGAAAGCUAUUUAGGUAGCGCCUCGUGAAUUCAUCUCCGGGGGUAGAGCACUGUUUCGGCUAGGGGGCCAUCCCGGCUUACCAACCCGAUGCAAACUGCGAAUACCGGAGAAUGUUAUCACGGGAGACACACGGCGGGUGCUAACGUCCGUCGUGAAGAGGGAAACAACCCAGACCGCCAGCUAAGGUCCCAAAGUCAUGGUUAAGUGGGAAACGAUGUGGGAAGGCCCAGACAGCCAGGAUGUUGGCUUAGAAGCAGCCAUCAUUUAAAGAAAGCGUAAUAGCUCACUGGUCGAGUCGGCCUGCGCGGAAGAUGUAACGGGGCUAAACCAUG